GACGGGACCCGCACAAGCGGUGGAUGAUGUGGUUUAAUUCGAUGCAACGCGAAAACCUUACCCACCUUUGACAUGUACGGAAUCCUUAGAGAUAGAGGAGUGCUCGAAAGAGAGCCGUAACACAGGUGCUGCAUGGCUGUCGUCAGCUCGUGUCGUGAGAUGUUGGGUUAAGUCCCGCAACGAGCGCAACCCUUGUCAUUAGUUGCUACGAAGGGGCACUCUAAUGAGACUGCCGGUGACAAACCGGAGGAAGGUGGGGAUGACGUCAAGUCCUCAUGGCCCUUAUAGGUGGGGCUACACACGUCAUACAAUGGCUGGUACAAAGGGUUGCCAACCCGCGAGGGGGAGCCAAUCCCAUAAAGCCAGUCGUAGUCCGGAUCGCAGUCUGCAACUCGACUGCGUGAAGUCGGAAUCGCUAGUAAUCGUGGAUCAGCAUGUCACGGUGAAUACGUUCCCGGGUCUU
RNAcentral lists this ribosomal RNA (463 nucleotides) under uncultured Comamonas sp. RNAcentral's name for it is "bacterial SSU rRNA". It matches the Rfam family "Bacterial small subunit ribosomal RNA", at positions 916 to 1381 of the family's 1533-position model. Lineage: Bacteria; Pseudomonadati; Pseudomonadota; Betaproteobacteria; Burkholderiales; Comamonadaceae. The record is from RNAcentral.